UACGUAGGGUGCAAGCGUUGUCCAGAAUUAUUGGGCGUAAAGAGCUCGUAGGCGGUCUGUCGCGUCGGCUGUGAAAACUCGGGGCUCAACCCCGAGCCUGCAGUCGAUACGGGCAGACUAGAGUGCUGUAGGGGAGACUGGAAUUCCUGGUGUAGCGGUGAAAUGCGCAGAUAUCAGGAGGAACACCGGUGGCGAAGGCGGGUCUCUAGUACGGUACUGACGCUGAGACGCGAAAGCGUGGGGAGCGAACAGG
This 253-nucleotide ribosomal RNA is filed under the name uncultured bacterium. RNAcentral's name for it is "partial 16S ribosomal RNA". It matches the Rfam family "Bacterial small subunit ribosomal RNA", at positions 524 to 776 of the family's 1533-position model. The record is from RNAcentral.